GGUGCCAUCGUCUAACGGUUAGGAUACUAGACUUUCAAUCUGGUGACGGCGGGUUCGAUUCCCCCUGGCACUACCA
Molecule: transfer RNA, 76 nt
Filed under: Candidatus Thorarchaeota archaeon
Lineage: Archaea; Promethearchaeati; Candidatus Thorarchaeota
Also listed under: 1 other name
Description: tRNA-Glu
Rfam family: tRNA
About the family: Transfer RNA (tRNA) molecules are approximately 80 nucleotides in length. Their secondary structure includes four short double-helical elements and three loops (D, anti-codon, and T loops).
Source: RNAcentral